This 426-nucleotide ribosomal RNA is filed under the name Tolypothrix distorta. RNAcentral's name for it is "bacterial SSU rRNA". It matches the Rfam family "Bacterial small subunit ribosomal RNA", at positions 469 to 889 of the family's 1533-position model. Lineage: Bacteria; Bacillati; Cyanobacteriota; Cyanophyceae; Nostocales; Tolypothrichaceae. The record is from RNAcentral.
AUGACGGUACCUAAGAAAUAAAGCAAUCGGGCUAAAUUCCGUGCCAGCAGCCGCGGUAAUACGGAGGAUCCAAGCGUUAUCCGGAAUUAUUGGGCGUAAAGCGUCCGCAGGUGGCAAAUUAAGUCCUGCUGUAAAAGCCUCUGGCUCAACCCGGUAAAGGCAGUGGAAACUGCAUAGCUAGAGUGCGGUAGGGGCAGAGGGAAUUCCCGGUGUAGCGGUGAAAUGCGUAGAGAUCGGGAAGAACACCGGUGGCGAAAGCGCUCUGCUGGGCCGUACCUGACACUGAGGGACGAAAGCUAGGGGAGCGAACGGGAUUAGAUACCCCGGUAGUCCUACCCGUAAACGAUGGAUACUAGGCGUGGCGGGUAUCCGACCCGAUGCAGUGCCGUAGCUAACGCUUAAGUACCCCGCUGGGGAGUACGCCGC